GAUGAACGCUGGCGGCGUGCCUAAUACAUGCAAGUCGAGCGAACGGACGAGAAGCUUGCUUCUCUGAUGUUAGCGGCGGACGGGUGAGUAACGCGUGGAUAACCUACCUAUAAGACUGGGAUAACUUCGGGAAACCGGAGCUAAUACCGGAUAAUAUUUUGAACCGCAUGGUUCAAAAGUGAAAGACGGUCUUGCUGUCACUUAUAGAUGGAUCCGCGCUGCAUUAGCUAGUUGGUAAGGUAACGGCUUACCAAGGCAACGAUGCAUAGCCGACCUGAGAGGGUGAUCGGCCACACUGGAACUGAGACACGGUCCAGACUCCUACGGGAGGCAGCAGUAGGGAAUCUUCCGCAAUGGGCGAAAGCCUGACGGAGCAACGCCGCGUGAGUGAUGAAGGUCUUCGGGUCGUAAAACUCUGUUAUUAGGGAAGAACAUAUGUGUAAGUAACUGUGCACAUCUUGACGGUACCUAAUCAGAAAGCCACGGCUAACUACGUG
RNAcentral lists this ribosomal RNA (497 nucleotides) under uncultured bacterium. RNAcentral's name for it is "partial 16S ribosomal RNA". It matches the Rfam family "Bacterial small subunit ribosomal RNA", at positions 28 to 507 of the family's 1533-position model. The record is from RNAcentral.